UACGUAGGGUCCGAGCGUUGUCCGGAAUUAUUGGGCGUAAAGGGCUCGUAGGCGGUUUGUCGCGUCGGGAGUGAAAACACGGGGCUUAACCCCGUGCCUGCUUCCGAUACGGGCAGACUAGAGGUAUGCAGGGGAGAACGGAAUUCCUGGUGUAGCGGUGAAAUGCGCAGAUAUCAGGAGGAACACCGGUGGCGAAGGCGGAUCUCUGGGCCGAUACUGACGCUGAGGAGCGAAAGCGUGGGGAGCGAACAGG
RNAcentral lists this ribosomal RNA (253 nucleotides) under uncultured bacterium. Its description in RNAcentral is "partial 16S ribosomal RNA". It matches the Rfam family "Bacterial small subunit ribosomal RNA", at positions 524 to 776 of the family's 1533-position model. The record is from RNAcentral.